Molecule: ribosomal RNA, 490 nt
Filed under: uncultured bacterium
Lineage: Bacteria
Description: partial 16S ribosomal RNA
Rfam family: Bacterial small subunit ribosomal RNA
Source: RNAcentral
AUUGAACGCUGGCGGCAGGCCUAACACAUGCAAGUCGAAUGGUAACAGGAAACAGCUUGCUGUUUCGCUGACGAGUGGCGGACGGGUGAGUAAUGUCUGGGAAACUGCCUGAUGGAGGGGGAUAACUACUGGAAACGGUAGCUAAUACCGCAUAACGUCGCAAGACCAAAGAGGGGGACCUUCGGGCCUCUUGCCAUCAGAUGUGCCCAGAUGGGUUUAGCUAGUAGGUGGGGUAACGGCCCACCUAGGCGACGAUCCCUAGCUGGUCUGAGAGGAUGAGCAGCCACACUGGAACUGAGACACGGUACAGACUCCUACGGGAGGCAGCAGUGGGGAAUAUUGGACAAUGGGCGCAAGCCUGAUCCAGCCAUACGGCGUGGAUGAAGAAGGCCUUCGGGUUGUAAAGCCCUUUUGUUGGGAAAGAAAAGCAGCAGGUUAAUACCCCGCUGUUCUGACGGUACCCAAAGAAGAAGCACCGGCUAACUUCGUG